GAUGAACGCUGGCGGCGUGCCUAAUACAUGCAAGUCGAGCGAACGGACGAGAAGCUUGCUUCUCUGAUGUUAGCGGCGGACGGGUGAGUAACACGUGGACAACCUACCUAUAAGACUGGGAUAACUUCGGGAAACCGUAGCUAAUACCGGAUAAUAUUUUGAACCGCAUGGUUCAAAAGUGAAAGACGGUCUUGCUGUCACUUAUAGAUGGAUCCGCGCUGCAUUAGCUAGUUGGUAAGGUAACGGCUUACCAAGGCAACGAUGCAUAGCCGACCUGAGAGGGUGAUCGGCCACACUGGAACUGAGACACGGUCCAGACUCCUACGGGAGGCAGCAGUAGGGAAUCUUCCGCAAUGGGCGAAAGCCUGACGGAGCAACGCCGCGUGAGUGAUGAAGGUCUUCGGAUCGUAAAACUCUGUUAUUAGGGAAGAACAUAUGUGUAAGUAACUGUGCACAUCUUGACGGUACCUAAUCAGAAAGCCACGGCUAACUACGUG
This 497-nucleotide ribosomal RNA is filed under the name uncultured bacterium. RNAcentral describes it as "partial 16S ribosomal RNA". It matches the Rfam family "Bacterial small subunit ribosomal RNA", at positions 28 to 507 of the family's 1533-position model. The record is from RNAcentral.